CUUGUACACACCGCCCGUCACACCAUGGGAGCGGGUUCUGCCAGAAGUAGUUAGCCUAACCGCAAGGAGGGCGAUUACCACGGCAGGGUUCGCGACUGGGGUG
This 103-nucleotide ribosomal RNA is filed under the name uncultured bacterium. RNAcentral describes it as "partial 16S ribosomal RNA". It matches the Rfam family "Bacterial small subunit ribosomal RNA", at positions 1380 to 1482 of the family's 1533-position model. The record is from RNAcentral.